This 202-nucleotide long non-coding RNA is filed under the name Hordeum vulgare. RNAcentral's name for it is "long non-coding RNA (HVUL_LNC016889)". Lineage: Eukaryota; Viridiplantae; Streptophyta; Magnoliopsida; Poales; Poaceae. The record is from RNAcentral.
UACGCUUGUGCUACUAGUUAGCUAGCCGUGUGGCCCGCCACGUACCUGCUGUGGUGGCUGAUCGACGGUGACAAAACUAACAGGCAUGCAUGCCACGGCUGGAGUAUUUUUUAAAAUAAACCCAAUUUUUAUUUAUUAAAGAUAACCAAUACAUCGUUUGUGAAGGUCGUUAUAAUUUCACAUAAAGGUUUCUCAGACCAUU